Gossypium raimondii (Peruvian cotton) is the source of this 579-nucleotide long non-coding RNA. RefSeq lists it as uncharacterized. The transcript has 3 exons. The record is from RefSeq and is a predicted model, not a curated record. Lineage: Eukaryota; Viridiplantae; Streptophyta; Magnoliopsida; Malvales; Malvaceae.
UAAUUUUGUUUCACUUCCGUCUUCCACCACCUAUCGUGCCCUCCUCCCUUUUUUCCCAAUUCCAAAAUACCGAUCCUCCUCCAGUCCACAGAUCCUCCUCCAGUCCACCGAUCCACCUUCGAUCCUCCGCCCAAUUUAAGAAACAAGUGACAUUGAAAUCAAUUUGGCUUACCAUAGCUUCCUUUCCCGAUUAGCAGAUUUUGUAGAUGAUAAUUUGUGUCCUUAUCUCAAAAGAUUGUUAUGAUUAUUGAUUCCUCUGAAAAAGAAGUGAACUACCAAAAUAUUGGAGGGAAAGAAAAUUUUGAUUAAAUUAUGGUAAUGUUAUGCUAAUAUUGUUUAUCUACUAGUAGGAAAAUAAUGGGAUUGAGAAAUAGAGAUGCUUCUAUUCAUGAAUUUGGAUUGGAUUUAUGCAGUUUGAAUUGGAAAAUAAUUGUUCUUAGCAGAUGAAAGAUCAUAGAAAUAUUUGUUUUUUGAUUAAAACUGAUUUAUUUUUUAUAGAGCAUGUAAUUUGCAUUUAAUUGAAGCCUAGAUGAAAUUGAUUUAUUUUUUAUGUACCACCUUUUAUUUUAAAAAACGGGC